Molecule: ribosomal RNA, 495 nt
Filed under: uncultured bacterium
Lineage: Bacteria
Description: partial 16S ribosomal RNA
Rfam family: Bacterial small subunit ribosomal RNA
Source: RNAcentral
GAUGAACGCUGGCGGCGUGCCUAAUACAUGCAAGUAGAACGCUGAAGGAGGAGCUUGCUCUUCUGGAUGAGUUGCGAACGGGUGAGUAACGCGUAGGUAACCUGCCUGGUAGCGGGGGAUAACUAUUGGAAACGAUAGCUAAUACCGCAUGACAACAGUUAUUGCAUGAUAACUGUUUAAAAGGGGCAACUGCUCCACUACCAGAUGGAUCUGCGUUGUAUUAGCUAGUUGGUGAGGUAACGGCUCACCAAGGCGACGAUACAUAGCCGACCUGAGAGGGUGAUCGGCCACACUGGGACGGAGACACGGCACAGACUCCUACGGGAGGCAGCAGUAGGGAAUCUUCGGCAAUGGACGGAAGUCUGACCGAGAAACGCCGCGUGAGGGAAGAAGGUUUUCGGAUCGUAAAGCUCGGUUGUAAGAGAAGAACGAGUGUGAGAGUGGAAAGUUCACACUGUGACGGUAUCUUACCAGAAAGGGACGGCUAACUACGUG